AGUUAUAUAGUUUUAAAUAAAAUAUUAAUUUUGUAAAUUAAAGAUAUAAAAUUAUUAUAACUU
Molecule: transfer RNA, 63 nt
Filed under: Platygaster sp. ZJUH_2016029
Lineage: Eukaryota; Metazoa; Arthropoda; Insecta; Hymenoptera; Platygastridae
Description: tRNA-Thr
Source: RNAcentral